UGAGGAAUAUUGCGCAAUGGGGGCAACCCUGACGCAGCGACGCCGCGUGAGUGAGGAAGGCCUUCGGGUCGUAAAGCUCUGUCAAAGGGAAAGAAGUGCAUAAUGGUUAAUACCUGUUAUGUUUGACGGUACCCUUAAAGGAAGCACCGGCUAACUCCGUGCCAGCAGCCGCGGUAAUACGGAGGGUGCAAGCGUUGUUCGGAAUUACUGGGCGUAAAGGGCGCGUAGGCGGUUUGAUAAGUCAGAUGUGAAAGCCCACGGCUUAACUGUGGAAGUGCAUUUGAUACUGUUAGACUUGAGUACCAGAGGGGAAAGUGGAAUUCCCGGUGUAGAGGUGAAAUUCGUAGAUAUCGGGAGGAAUACCGGUGGCGAAGGCGACUUUCUGGCUGGAUACUGACGCUGAGGCGCGAAAGCGUGGGGAGCAAACA
RNAcentral lists this ribosomal RNA (428 nucleotides) under uncultured Desulfobulbus sp. RNAcentral describes it as "partial 16S ribosomal RNA". It matches the Rfam family "Bacterial small subunit ribosomal RNA", at positions 355 to 774 of the family's 1533-position model. Lineage: Bacteria; Pseudomonadati; Thermodesulfobacteriota; Desulfobulbia; Desulfobulbales; Desulfobulbaceae. The record is from RNAcentral.